UACGAAGGGGGCUAGCGUUGUUCGGAAUUACUGGGCGUAAAGCGCGCGCAGGCGGUCUUCCAAGUCAGUGGUGAAAGCCUGGAGCUCAACUCCAGAACUGCCAUUGAAACUGUUAGACUUGAGUACGAGAGAGGUGAGUGGAAUUCCCAGUGUAGAGGUGAAAUUCGUAGAUAUUGGGAAGAACACCAGUGGCGAAGGCGGCUCACUGGCUCGUAACUGACGCUGAGGUGCGAAAGCGUGGGGAGCAAACAGG
This 253-nucleotide ribosomal RNA is filed under the name uncultured bacterium. Its description in RNAcentral is "partial 16S ribosomal RNA". It matches the Rfam family "Bacterial small subunit ribosomal RNA", at positions 524 to 776 of the family's 1533-position model. The record is from RNAcentral.